Molecule: ribosomal RNA, 253 nt
Filed under: uncultured bacterium
Lineage: Bacteria
Description: partial 16S ribosomal RNA
Rfam family: Bacterial small subunit ribosomal RNA
Source: RNAcentral
UACGGAGGGUGCGAGCGUUAAUCGGAAUUACUGGGCGUAAAGCGCACGUAGGCGGUCAGGCAAGUCGGGUGUGAAAGCCCUGGGCUCAACCUGGGAAUUGCAUUCGAAACUAUCUGACUCGAGUAUGGGAGAGGGAAGCGGAAUUUCCGGUGUAGCGGUGAAGUGCGUAGAUAUCGGAAGGAACACCAGUGGCGAAGGCGGCUUCCUGGACUAAUACUGACGCUGAGGUGCGAAAGCGUGGGGAGCAAACAGG